GUCGAACGAAAAACAGAAGCUUGCUUCUGUGGACGAGUGGCGAAAGGGUGAGUAACGCGUGAGUAACCUGCCCUCAAGUUGGGAAUAACUCUUGGAAACGAGAGCUAAAACCGAAUGUGAAUAUUUUCCCGCAUGGGUUUAUAUUUAAAAAUUUAUUGCUUGAGGAUGGGCUCGCGUACCAUUAGCUAGUUGGUGUGGUAACGGCAUACCAAGGCUACGAUGGUUAGGUGGAUUGGGAGAUCGGUCACCCACACUGGGACUGAGACACUGCCCAGACUCCUACGGGAGGCUGCAGUCGAGAAUCUUCCGCAAUGCGCGAAAGCGUGACGGAGCAAUGCCGCGUGGUGGAUGAAGGCCUUAGGGUUAUAAACACCUGUCACAUGGGACGAAUAUUUGACGGUACCAUGAGAGGAAGCCACGGCUAACUACGUGCCAGCAGCCGCGGUAAUACGUAGGUGGCGAGCGUUGUUCGGAUUUGUUGGGCGUAAAGGGUCCGCAGGGGGUUUAUCAGGUCUGAUGUGAAAUCCCAGGCUCACCUUGGAACCGCAUGGAAACUAGUAAACUAGAGUAUCCGAGAGGUAAAUGGAAUUCCUGGUGUAGCGGUGGAAUGCGUAGAUAUC
RNAcentral lists this ribosomal RNA (620 nucleotides) under uncultured bacterium. RNAcentral describes it as "bacterial SSU rRNA". It matches the Rfam family "Bacterial small subunit ribosomal RNA", at positions 61 to 698 of the family's 1533-position model. The record is from RNAcentral.